This 480-nucleotide ribosomal RNA is filed under the name uncultured bacterium. RNAcentral's name for it is "bacterial SSU rRNA". It matches the Rfam family "Bacterial small subunit ribosomal RNA", at positions 29 to 521 of the family's 1533-position model. The record is from RNAcentral.
AAUGAACGUUGGCGGCGUGGAUUAGGCAUGCAAGUCGAGCGCGAAUCUCCGCAAGGAGAGGAAAGCGGCGAAAGGGAGAGUAACACGUGGAUAUCUGCCCUCCGGACUGGGAUAGCUGCGGGAAACUGCAGGUAAUACCAGAUAACGUCUUUGGACCAAAGGUGUGAUUCCGCCGGUGGAUGAGUCCGCGUCCUAUUAGCUAGUUGGUAGGGUAACGGCCUACCAAGGCCAUGAUGGGUAGCGGGUGUGAGAGCAUGGCCCGCCUCACUGGGACUGAGACACUGCCCAGACACCUACGGGUGGCUGCAGUCGAGGAUCUUCGGCAAUGGACGCAAGUCUGACCGAGCGACGCCGCGUGCGGGAUGAAGGCCUCGGUUGUAACGCUGUCAGAGGGAGGAAGUAGGUAGAGGGUUCGUCCCUCUACUCUUGUACCUAUCCUCAGAGGAAGUACGGGCGUAAGUUCGUGCCAGCAGCCGCGGU